AUUGAACGCUGGCGGCAGGCUUAACACAUGCAAGUCGAGCGGUAGCACAGGGGAGCUUGCUCCCUGGGUGACGAGCGGCGGACGGGUGAGUCAUGUCUGGGAAACUGCCUGCUGGAGGGGGAUAACUACUGGAAACGGUAGCUACUACCGCAUAACGUCUCAAGCCCAAAGAGGGGGACCUUCUGGCCUCUUGCCAUCAGAUGUGCCCAGAUGGGAUUAGCUAGUAGGUGGGGUAAUGGCUCACCUAGGCGACGAUCCCUAGCUGGUCUGAGAGGAUGACAAGCCACACUGGAAGGGAGACACGGUCCAGACGCCUGAGGGAGGCAGCAGUGGGGAAUAUGGGACAAUGGGCGGAAGCCUGAUGCAGCCAGGCCGCGUGUGUGAAGAAGGCCUUCGGGUUGUAAAGCACUUUCAGCGAGGAGGAAGGUGGUGAGCUUAAUACGUUCAUCAAUUGACGUUACUCGCAGAAGAAGCACCGGCUAACUCCGUG
This 490-nucleotide ribosomal RNA is filed under the name uncultured bacterium. Its description in RNAcentral is "partial 16S ribosomal RNA". It matches the Rfam family "Bacterial small subunit ribosomal RNA", at positions 29 to 507 of the family's 1533-position model. The record is from RNAcentral.